Long non-coding RNA from Bombus huntii, 3435 nucleotides. RefSeq lists it as uncharacterized. Lineage: Eukaryota; Metazoa; Arthropoda; Insecta; Hymenoptera; Apidae. The transcript has 2 exons. The record is from RefSeq and is a predicted model, not a curated record.
CGAGAACAAUGUGAAACAAAUGCAUUAAUUCACAGAAUUAUACGUACUUACAUUUGCAUACUAGUUUACGUACUAUGACUGCAAGUUCUAUUAAUUUAACGUUAUUGGGUCUCGAACAUUUUUGCAACAUUUUUGAAGAUAACUUAAUGUUUGCUUUGUUCCGUAUCUAUAAAUCAAACGAUCGUAUUAUUUCGCUCUAUAUAUUAUACGUUUCAAAGAAAUAAUCCUGUUACGAGAAGCAUGUACGUCGAGAAAUAUAAUCCAAGCGUACAUUUGCGUCGAUAUUGUCUAAGAAAUUCAGGAAAGAACGUGGAGCGUUUCAGAGGGAAUUAUUGAGAAUUAUUGACAUUUGAAAUUCUGUUAUAAAUUUGCAAACACGAUAUAACAGCCUACGCGAAAAUCUCGCGACAGCCAUUGAUAAAUAAAGUAGAAAAUAUUUUCAAGCUCUAGUUACGGCUUUACAACACGAUCUGUUAUCACCUAAAUAUGUAUCUUUACGGCCAUCACGACGUAAAAAGAAACAAACUGAAUGAAAGCGAAAUUUACAAUUUCCCCCCGCAGGAAUAGACGAUCAUACGCAUUUUAACAUAUUCGCCACGAUAUAUCUUCUUCUCUGCUGGCAUCAAUCUCACCACUCCAGUUCUAAAGAGUUAGUUAAACUAAUUACACGGUGGAAGGAACAACAGGCACAUUUGAACCAGUGCGCAUAAUUCAAAUGGUUUCGCAUGAGCUGCAAUCGCGUAGAAACUGCUAUAACGAGAAGCACGACAAACGGAAUUUUCCUUUGCAAAAUUCGUUCAACAUGUCGCCCAACUUUCACCUGUGAAAACGGACGAACGUUUCCGGUGAAAGGAGCAGUCUUCCGAGAUUUCCGCUGGCGAGAUUACGAAUUCAAGAAGAAAUCCGCACGAACGCCACGACGCGAAUGGCAUCGCUAUGCUAAGAAAAGAAAAAUCAUGAUACUCGGUUUCCUGGCAACGAUCGAUCGCUGCAAAGAAGAACAACUCCGCCUUAGAUUAGACGAACGAAAUUGGUUCGCGUGGUGUUAUUGAUGGAAGAAGCAGCAUAAGUGCCGUUGUCAAAGCCGUUCGACGAAGACUUAAGAUGACCCUCGACCGACCAGUGCAAAAGGUACCUGACGAAGGACGCAAAGUUCCAUUGAUUCUACGCGAAUUUAGUAAAUCACGAUACGCAAUAAUAUAAUAAUAUAAUAAUAUAAUAAUAAUAAUAAUAAUAUAAUAAUAAACCGAUACGCAAAUCGCUAUAAAUAAUGACGAGCAAGUACCAGCCGUUUGAAAAUCCAUUAAAAAACGAUUACGUUAGACGCUAUAAGACUAUGUUAACGCUUUGCGGACUAGAGACGCGAAUUUGCGUCUUACACACUUUGUACGGCAUCCUAUAAAAAUGUUAACUACCGUUAAAUAAAACAGUAAAAAAAAAAUGCAAUGGAUGCUAUAAACGAAAUGUCGUGAAAGUGUUUUUACGUUACAUGGUCGAAUAACACGAAACCGUUAUCAAUGUAUUAGAUAUAAUAUCAAUUGCUAGGAAAGUUCGUUUCGGCUUUUAAGGAAUUUGAUAGAAUAAUAAAUGUUGCUUAGUAACUCUGCAUCGGGCAAAUUGUUUUCAAGCGUUAGCAGAAGUAUCUUUAAAUACGCUUAUUGAUUUUUAAUAAAAUAUUAUACUUGUUAAAUGCUGCUGGGAAAGUUCGUACCGAUUUUUAACUCUUCGGUCGACAUAAAAAAUCAUAUUGAAAAGUUCUUCUCCGAAGAACCUGAGAGGUUCUGGAAGGAUGGGAACAUCCAAGUCGCGUGAAAGAUGGAGAAAGGUUGUGGCAACAACAACAACAAAAUACCAUCUAUACAAUUCAAUAAAUGUACAUGGAAUCGAAACGUAAAUCGGAAGGAACUUUCCCAGCGACUGUUCGAAUCUUUUCAAUCGUAGCAAAAAUAUUCAGGCUACGGUCCUCAAAGUAUCAAAAAAGAUAGAAUACUAUAUAAAACCGCAGUCGUGAUUCAAUGGAUUCUUUGAUUACGGAGGAAUGCGCCCGCUCGAAAUUUCUCGACUCUUAUCGAUCGUUAUCACGAAAUAAGACAUAGAUAAAAGACGCACGGUACCAAACUGUCGUAAUGACUCACUGAAGCUGUUACAGGAAUGCCAUCUUACCUGUUUUUUCAGUUGCCUUUCUUUUCUUUUUUUUUUUUUUCGUGCACUAGCUAAAAGAAGAAGUGGCAAGAGAAUCUUGUUUCUAUAAACUGGAAUUGGCAAUCCUGAACAGCGGACAAUAUCGUGGUGGAAAAAUAAUCUAGACACAUCCUUUCGGAUUUAUCGUUCCGCUAAUUGGAUGACAGUCACUGAAUCGAACAAAAGUCGUCACGUACCGGUGCACCGUUGUCGCACAAAGUACAAGCCACCGUGACAGAAUUUUGAAAACGCCCACGCGAAUCGAAGCGGUGCCCUCUCAAGCGACACGUUGCGCGUUCACCUCGAUGAAAUCGCUGGUAAAUGAUUUUUAUCGGCAUGAACGAGCCGCUAGAACUCCUUUCGUGGAAAGUGAAUACGAUGAACAACGUGUGUGUGCCGAGUUAUCACGUUCGGUAAAACGUAGUGUUACAUUUUUAGAAUAGAUCUUAGCUUACGGUGAAUUUACAGAUAUUCUUCGAUCGUUAUAUUUUGUAAGUCAUCCGUGAAAUAUAUAUACAGCACUACGUUUUUUUAGAACAAAUUUCAGCUCACAUACGUAUACAUAUAGAUAUAAUAGUCGAUGAGCGUAAUAUUCGUAGAAACCUUUUACAAGAAUAAUGUAACUUGACCAAUACGAUCUCGACAAUCGGGUCUUGUUAUAUCGUUAAUGAAAUUUCCAAAUGUUCUAUAUAACAUACACAUCGUAUAGAUGUAGAAGUUUUCUACGAUAAAAGUUUAAAUACCUUCACGAGACACUAUACGUACGAUAUUUUAAAUAUUUUUGAAUUACGUAAUGGUACGUUUUUUCUUUUCUAGAUUUCAUACUAUCAAGUACAGAUUACAUUUUGAAGAUAAUUUAAAGUUACGUAUGUAAAGUGUAGUAAUACUCUAUAGUCGCCAAAUAUAGUAAGAAAUUAUAAGGUCGAUAGCAUAUUGUAAAACAUUUCCAAAGGCAAAGCGCUUUCCUCGCUACCUAAGACAUCUAAAUCACGUUACACCGCUUGCCAAUUAUCGAUGACCCUGAAUAGCACAAUGCUGCGAUAAGUUAGUGCAUUAAUAAGUAUUAAUGCUCGAAAUGAGCGACUCAAACUGAUUAUGUAUGGGAACUUUUCUCUUCCCUUCCAGUUACACUUUUUCAUUUGCUAAUCGCUGUACCUUCUUUUCUAUUUCAUUUUAUUUUUCUUUCUCUUUUUUUUUUUUUUUUUUUUUUAGAAGUCGAUCGGAUAAUUUUAAAGGAGAAUUCAUAAGUGCAAA